RNAcentral lists this ribosomal RNA (422 nucleotides) under uncultured Alphaproteobacteria bacterium. RNAcentral describes it as "bacterial SSU rRNA". It matches the Rfam family "Bacterial small subunit ribosomal RNA", at positions 31 to 497 of the family's 1533-position model. Lineage: Bacteria; Pseudomonadati; Pseudomonadota; Alphaproteobacteria. The record is from RNAcentral.
GAACGCUGGCGGCAGGCUUAAUACAUGCAAGUCGAGCGGUCUCUCUCGGGAGACAGCGGCGGACGGGUUAGUAACGCGUGGGAACGUGCCCUUUAGUACGGAAUAGCCAUUGGAAACGAUGAUUAAUACCGUAUACGCCCUAUGGGGGAAAGAUUUAUCGCUAAAGGAUCGGCCCGCGUUAGAUUAGGUUGUUGGUGGGGUAAUGGCCUACCAAGCCUACGAUCUAUAGCUGGUUUGAGAGGAUGAUCAGCAACACUGGGACUGAGACACGGCCCAGACUUCUACGGAAGGCAGCAGUAGGGAAUCUUGGACAAUGGGCGAAAGCCUGAUCCAGCCAUGCCGCGUGAGUGAUGAAGGCCCUAGGGUUGUAAAACUCUUUCGCCAGGGAAGAUAAUGACGGUACCUGGUAAAGAAACCCCGGC